GACGAACGCUGGCGGCGUGCCUAAUACAUGCAAGUCGAGCGAGUCUGCCUUGAAGAUCGGAGUGCUUGCACUCUGUGAAACAAGAUACAGGCUAGCGGCGGACGGGUGAGUAACACGUGGGUAACCUGCCCAAGAGAUCGGGAUAACACCUGGAAACAGAUGCUAAUACCGGAUAACAACAGAUGAUGCCUAUCAACUGUUUAAAAGAUGGUUCUGCUAUCACUCUUGGAUGGACCUGCGGUGCAUUAGCUAGUUGGUAGGGUAACGGCCUACCAAGGCGAUGAUGCAUAGCCGAGUUGAGAGACUGAUCGGCCACAUUGGGACUGAGACACGGCCCAAACUCCUACGGGAGGCAGCAGUAGGGAAUCUUCCACAAUGGACGCAAGUCUGAUGGAGCAACGCCGCGUGAGUGAAGAAGGGUUUCGGCUCGUAAAGCUCCGUUGUUGGUGAAGAAGGACAGGGGUAGUAACUGACCUUUGUUUGACGGUAAUCAAUUAGAAAGUCACGGCUAACUAAGUG
RNAcentral lists this ribosomal RNA (519 nucleotides) under uncultured bacterium. RNAcentral's name for it is "partial 16S ribosomal RNA". It matches the Rfam family "Bacterial small subunit ribosomal RNA", at positions 28 to 507 of the family's 1533-position model. The record is from RNAcentral.